ACACGACUACAUUAGAUACCCCGGUAGUCCUAGCCGUAAACGAUACUCGCUAGGUGUCGGCCACGGUGCGACUGUUGUCGGUGCCGUAGGGAAGCCGUGAAGCGAGCCACCUGGGAAGUACGGCCGCAAGGCUGAAACUUAAAGGAAUUGGCGGGGGAGCACAACAACGGGUGGAGCUUGCGGUUUAAUUGGAUUCAACGCCGGAAAUCUUACCGGGACCGACAGCAACAUGAAGGCCAAGCUGAAGACUUUGCCGGAUUAGCUG
RNAcentral lists this ribosomal RNA (265 nucleotides) under uncultured archaeon. RNAcentral describes it as "partial 16S ribosomal RNA". It matches the Rfam family "Archaeal small subunit ribosomal RNA", at positions 717 to 982 of the family's 1478-position model. The record is from RNAcentral.